AUACGGAGGAUGCAAGCGUUAUCCGGAUUCAUUGGGUUUAAAGGGUGCGCAGGCGGAGAGAUAAGUCAGUGGUGAAAAACUGCCGCUCAACGGUAGUCUUGCCAUUGAUACUGUCUUUCUUGAGUAUGGAUGAGGUAGGCGGAAUGUGCAGUGUAGCGGUGAAAUGCAUAGAUAUUGCACGGAACACCAAUUGCGAAGGCAGCUUACUGGACCAUUACUGACGCUCAGGCACGAAAGCGUGGGGAUCAAACAGGAUUAGAUACCCUGGUAGUCCACGCAGUAAACGAUGUUCACUCGCUGUUUGCGAUAUACUGUAAGCGGCUUAGUUAAAGCAUUAAGUGAACCACCUGGGGAGUACGAUCGCAAGGUUGAA
Molecule: ribosomal RNA, 373 nt
Filed under: uncultured bacterium
Lineage: Bacteria
Description: bacterial SSU rRNA
Rfam family: Bacterial small subunit ribosomal RNA
Source: RNAcentral